GGACCGUUUUGGCUCAAAAAUUCUAAUAUUCUACUUAGGUAGCAGUCUAAGUCAUGAGAGAAAGGUCUCACGUGCUUUCUUUGACGCUAAUAAUAGAAUGCUAGUAACACAGCUGAGGAAGUCAUUGUGCAAAGUCAGGUCUCUCCAAACUGAGGUCAGAAGAGCUAACUGGGAGACAGACAUUUGUGUCCACAGAUUAAUUAGACAUUCAUCAUAACUGCCUGCGUGGAUGUGGCAACGGGCACAGAGCCCCGAGAAGUGCCUGCCACACGACCAGCCAGAGGGAAUGUGCCCCUUGAAGCAGAGGAAUGUUCCCGCUCCAGUGAGUUCUGAGAACCCCCCGGUACAUAGUUGUGUAUUCUUCGUUGUGGGUUCCUCUAGUUGUGGCAUGUGGGACGCUGCCUCAGUGUGGUCCGACGAGCAGUGCCAUGUCCGCGCCCAGGAUUCGAACCGACGAAACACUGGGCCGCCUGCAGCGGAGCGCGCGAACCCAACCACUCGGCCACGGGGCCAGCCCCUCUAAUGACCUCAUCUUAACGAAUGACAUCUGCGGUGACCCUAUUUCCAAAUACGGGCACAUUCUGAAGUUCUGGAGAUUGGGUCUUCAACAUAUGAGUUUUGGGUGGACAAUUCAACCCAUAACGACUCCCCUUUCCCCUCCUUCUUCCGACUUGCUCAGAUACCUCAAGGCAAUCUCUUAUUCUCAUUCUCACUUCUACUCCUCCUCCUGCCUGUCUUGUCAACCCUGUAAAUUAUCCUGUAUAUGAUGGGAACACGUAAGAAUGGGCAUGUCUAGGAAAAAGAAGGGCUUGUGUUUUGAAAUGUAACCUGACCUGGAUAGAGGUCAGAGCGACCCCUAGAACCACUCAGGAUCUCUUUUCAGAAGGUCAUUACUUCCUCACCCUCCUCUAUUUAAACCAAUUUGUUUUCUUUUCCUUAAGUGCCAUGAUUCAAAAUAAAUCUUUCCUACACGGCAUUUUCCUGUUUCAAUCACUAAUAUUUAGACUGUGUUGUGUUCUGCUCCAUUUUCGUUGUCAAUGUGUAGUAUUUCAACUGUUGUAAAAUAAAUUGGAAUAAAAGUCCUCAUGGGAUGAUAACUAUCCCUUCCCACCACUCUCCCCUCAUUGCUACAAUUCUUGUUCUCUAAGUAUUUAUUGAGUAACAGUUAUGUGCUGGUCACUGUCGUAGACGUAGGAGAUGCAAACAUAAGUGAGUCAUGAUGUCUACUAUAAAGAAGCAUACAAUCUAGAGAGGCAGACAGACCUAACUAAUACUCUAGGUCUCAUAACAGUCGUAUUUAUAAGAGGAUAUGGCAGCACAGAAGAUGGAGUGAUUAACGAAGCAUUAGGAAUUGGAAGUGAUCAGCCUCUGUUUAUCCAGUUAAGGACAGCAUCCUUGGUGAAGGUAAAACUUCUUAGCAGGUUGAAUGAUGAGAGAGCAAGGCUGGCCUGUAGAAGAGAAGGGCACUCUAGCACACGGGGGACGAACUGGAAAGCAGAGGGGAGACGCGAGUACGGUAUCAGAUGAAAGCUUUGAGACGCCUUCCACCCAACCACCGUUCUCCAUCUACUGCUAUGGAUUACUCUGAAUUUGUUAAAGGCCCAAGUACGUUAAAGUGAUGGAUGCCAUCUUUGGCCUCAGGGACAUGCACAUUGCCCAGUGGAAAUAAAUAAAGUAUUUCUGAACUUGCUUUAAAAAUUGCAAUUCAAGCCUUGUCACCAACUUACAAGAGUCAUAAUCAUCCAACCAAUGAAUUGUUGACACACUAUUUCAUCUACCCUGCAGUGACUAUUAUGAGCUGCUGUGUGACCAGUCAUCCACAGAAACUUUUAAUUUUCUCUUGGUAGUUAGUUUCACAUCAUUUCUGCUUGUCCCAAUUCUUGCAGUAUUUUUGGGACUGAAUUAUUUCAGCACUUGCCAUCCACUCACGAAGCUAAAACCUGGACACACUCAUAAGCAGGCUUUAAAAUCAUUCUUUUGAAAGGGCAGUCCUACAAUCUCGAUUUUCACUAGAACCGUUGAUUGUGUCAUUAUCAGCCAGAAGGAACCUGUUUGUUUUGUUUGUUGUCUGUGACACCAAAAUUUGGUCAAGAUCCAAAAAAUUAAAAAUAGAACUACCAUACGAUCCAGCUGUCCCACUACUGGGUAUCUAUCCAAAGAGCUUGAAGUCAGCAAUUCCAAAAGUCGCAUGCACCCCUAUGUUCAUUGCAGCAUUAUUUGCAAUAGCCAAGACGUGGAAGCAACCUAAGUGCCCACCAACACAUGAUUGGAUAAAGAAGAUGUGGUAUAUAUAUACAAUAGAAUACUAC
This 2309-nucleotide long non-coding RNA is filed under the name Equus caballus (horse). RNAcentral's name for it is "lncRNA (ENSECAG00000054985.1)". The record is from RNAcentral. Lineage: Eukaryota; Metazoa; Chordata; Mammalia; Perissodactyla; Equidae.